GACGAACGCUGGCGGCGUGCUUAACACAUGCAAGUCGAACGGUGAAGCGCCUUCCUUUUUGGUGGGUGUGGAUGAGUGGCGAACGGGUGAGUAACACGUGAGUAACCUGCCCCCUUCUUCUGGAUAACCGCAUGAAAGUGUGGCUAAUACGGGAUGUUCUGGGUCUGUCGCAUGAUGGGUCUGGGAAAGAUAUUGUUUCGGUGGGGGAUGGGCUCGCGGCCCAUCAGCUUGUUGGUGGGGUGAUGGCCUACCAAGGCGGUGACGGGUAGCCGGGGUGGGAGGGUGGACGGGCACAGUGGGACUGCGACGCGGCCCAGACUCCGACGGGAGGCAGCAGGGGGUAAUAUUGCACAAUGGGCGCAAGGCUGAUGCAGCGACGCCGGGGGAGGGAUGGAGGCCGUCGGGUUGUGAACCUCUUUCGCCAGUGAAGCAGGCCUGCCUCGUUUGUGGGUGGGUUGACGGUAGCUGGAUAAGAAGCGCCGGCUAACUACGUG
Molecule: ribosomal RNA, 494 nt
Filed under: uncultured bacterium
Lineage: Bacteria
Description: partial 16S ribosomal RNA
Rfam family: Bacterial small subunit ribosomal RNA
Source: RNAcentral